Folsomia candida is the source of this 507-nucleotide long non-coding RNA. RefSeq lists it as uncharacterized. The transcript is spliced from 2 exons. The record is from RefSeq and is a predicted model, not a curated record. Lineage: Eukaryota; Metazoa; Arthropoda; Collembola; Entomobryomorpha; Isotomidae.
CGUCUCCUUUUCCUCAGUUAAUUGCAACCUCACAACGAAGCAGUAUAAAUACUUACUUUAUUCUCCUGCUUAAAGCGAAUACAAUUAAAACCAUGGACUUUCAGCGAUUCUUUACUUCAGUAAUUUUAAUCACGUUAUUAUUUAUAUCAUUAUCAUUAGGAAACGGUUUUGCGGAGUCGACCGACUUUUCUCCAACUACUGAGGGUAGUUUCAUACCGGACAAUUGGAUUUUAAUUCGUCGUGGACUAUUCGAGGAUUCAGACUUUUAAGUUAAAGAAAAUAAUGGCGAGUGCAACCCCAAAUUUCGAUUGAAUUCGGUUUCAUCCCUGGUUUACGGAUCACAGACGUAAUUUAAAGGAGGAAUAGAAAAUGGAUACCAAGCUUAUUGAUUAUGUAAUUCCUCUCCAAAUUUGUAUAAUUUUCGUGAUAUUAACAAAUGCAUAUCCGUGUAUUGCAUAGGGAGACACGAAUGUACGGAAUACAUAAUAAAGAUUUUUGUUGAAAAUA